AGUAGGCUGAGCAAUUGCGCACGCGCAAGCGUGUGAGGAAAGUCCGAGCAUCACACAGCAGGGUAACGGCUAACAGCCGCCGAGGGCGACCUUAGGGAAAGUGCAUAGAGAGAUACCGCCGCUUUUUGCGGUAAGGGUGGAAAGGCGAGGUAAGAGCUCACCGGCGUGCAGGUAACUGUACGGCCAAGUAAACCCUACCCGAUGCAACAUCGACCGAAGUUGUCAGCUGGGCAGAUACUUCGACGGAUGGCUUCAGCGUAUCGGCAACGGUGCGCGCAGAUAGAUAAUUGCUUUAAACGACAGAACUCGGCUUACAGGCCUACUCA
Molecule: RNase P RNA, 326 nt
Filed under: Candidatus Fimenecus stercoravium
Lineage: Bacteria; Bacillati; Bacillota; Clostridia
Description: Bacterial RNase P class A
Rfam family: Bacterial RNase P class A
About the family: Ribonuclease P (RNase P) is a ubiquitous endoribonuclease, found in archaea, bacteria and eukarya as well as chloroplasts and mitochondria. Its best characterised activity is the generation of mature 5'-ends of tRNAs by cleaving the 5'-leader elements of precursor-tRNAs.
Source: RNAcentral